GACGAACGCUGUCGGCGUGCUUAACACAUGCAAGUCGAACGGAAAGGCCCUGCAUUUGUGGGGUGCUCGAGUGGCGAACGGGUGAGUAACACGUGAGUAACCUGCCCUUGACUUUGGGAUAACUUCAGGAAACUGGGGCUAAUACCGGAUAGGAGCUCCUGCUGCAUGGUGGGGGUUGGAAAGUUUCGGCGGCUGGGGAUGGACUCGCGGCUUAUCAGCUUGUUGGUGGGGUAGUGGCUUACCAAGGCUUUGACGGGUAGCCGGCCUGAGAGGGUGACCAGCCACAUUGGUACUGAGAUACGGCCCAGACUCCUACGGGAGGCAGCAGUGGGGAAUAUUGCACAAUGGGCGGAAGCCUGAUGCAGCAACGCCGCGUGCGGGAUGACGGCCUUCGGGUUGUAAACCGCUUUCGCCUGUGACGAAGCGUGAGUGACGGUAAUGGGUAAAGAAGCACCGGCUAACUACGUG
RNAcentral lists this ribosomal RNA (468 nucleotides) under uncultured bacterium. Its description in RNAcentral is "partial 16S ribosomal RNA". It matches the Rfam family "Bacterial small subunit ribosomal RNA", at positions 28 to 507 of the family's 1533-position model. The record is from RNAcentral.